ACAGAUCGCGAUUUAACCACGUUAAACGUGUAACUCGAAAGUAAGCUAGAAGGCGCCCGUGUUUUAAGCGCACACAGUGUUCUCGCGCUAGAAAAUCAAAUAUUUUUCGCAAAACCACGAACAAAACUCGACAACCUAAACAAAAUUCGACAUUCUUGUGCAGUAGUGAUUAAAGGGUAGAAUCGACGGUUUAUUUAGUACUGCUAACGGCGAUUUACCGUUAAUCUUUUCAUUCAUUUGAUUUGUUUGUACUUUUUUAUUGUGAUUAGGAUUAUGAAUGAAUUUGCGGAUUGGCGUUUUUUUAUUGCGAAUUUGUGAGCUCCAAAAGUAAUGUGGCCCAGCGCGGUUCGCUGCGGCUACUGCCAAAAAGCGAUAUCAAAAUCGCAACUGUCAAGGCACCGGAGAAGGCCAAGAUUACUUUACCGAGAAGGCUGCAUCCGUGGCUGCCUACGACCCGGCCCGGCCGGCACCGCAAAAGCGAAGCGCAACCGGCUGAUGGUGUUCCUUCGCCAGUGGAGCUGCUGCUUCUGGCUGCAGGCACAUUGCCGGGCUCGGUCCAGGCACACCAGCCUGCCCCGACAUCACCGACGAGUGACGGCGAUUUUCCUGUCGCCCCUGAUGCCGGCGAGGGGCCAGCCAGACCCGUCGAUGCGGCGACCGCGGUACCAGCUGACGCUACCGAGCAAGAGCGCGCACAUUUCACUGGUACUGCAUCGCAGUGUCGCCACCAUGCGCCAGUCACCGCCGCUGCGAACAAGAUCGUAGUAGACGCCAGCCCCCUGGACCAGCUGCUGGCUGCUGCCGCCUACAUGGAAGUGACAAAGACACCGACAGGGGCCAAGUUUUUCAUUGAAAUGAUCGUGCAGUUUGGCAGGUGCUCACUCUAAAUUGCGUUGUACGGGAAUCGCUGCUCCAGGAAGCGUUUUUUUUUUUAGCUGGAAUAGAUUUUAAUCAAUAAAAAUGGUAAAAUUGACCUUAUGCUCAUAAUAUCAGAUAAAUUAAUUGAAAAAAGGUCCAGAAUAUAUUUUCGAACUUGGUUCUUCUUCGGUGGAAUCAAAAAUGGCGAGAGGAUUUGAUUCCACCGAAGAAGAACCAAGUUCGAAAAUAUAUUCUGGACCUUUUUUCAAUUAAUUUAUCUGAUAUUAUGAGCAUAAGGUCAAUUUUACCAUUUUUAUUUAUUACAAUCAUGCUCAAAGAAACGUACCAUAUAAAACUAUGGGAAUAGAUUUUGUUAGACGAGGCGAAGAAAAAUGGACAGCGUUGGUGAAGUGCUAUUUAUUGUUUCUGAACUUAGCAGAGGGUUGAAUAGUGGAGCUCGGUUCAGGUGCAAAUUGGUACAUGGCACUCGCUGCUCGUUACCAGGGGCGUAACUUUAUAUCUCUUUGGGGGGGCUUGAGCCCCCCCCCCUGUGCUGAACUGAGCCCCCCUUGGGAAGCUUAGAGCCCCCCUUGAUUAAUUUUUAAUUCUUGACAAAACACACACAAAUAGCAAGACACUAACAUCCAAUUUCCCCAUUUUCCACCAUACACAUGAGUUUCCAGGUUGGGGGAUGAUCAUGGAUUUGUAAACACCCUCGCCCGUAUAGGGG
This 1588-nucleotide long non-coding RNA is filed under the name Amphibalanus amphitrite. Its description in RNAcentral is "uncharacterized LOC122384427". The record is from RNAcentral. Lineage: Eukaryota; Metazoa; Arthropoda; Thecostraca; Balanomorpha; Balanidae.